This 254-nucleotide ribosomal RNA is filed under the name uncultured bacterium. RNAcentral describes it as "partial 16S ribosomal RNA". It matches the Rfam family "Bacterial small subunit ribosomal RNA", at positions 524 to 776 of the family's 1533-position model. The record is from RNAcentral.
GACGUAGGGCGCGAGCGUUGUUCGGAAUUACUGGGCGUAAAGGGCGCGUAGGCGGCUAGGCAAGUCAGAUGUGAAAUCCCCGGGCUCAACCUGGGAACUGCAUUUGUGACUGCAUCGCUGGAGUGGCGGCAGAGGGGGAUGGAAUUCCGCGUGUAGCAGUGAAAUGCGUAGAUAUGCGGAGGAACACCGAUGGCGAAGGCAAUCCCCUGGGCCUGCACUGACGCUCAUGCACGAAAGCGUGGGGAGCAAACAGG